Molecule: ribosomal RNA, 490 nt
Filed under: uncultured bacterium
Lineage: Bacteria
Description: partial 16S ribosomal RNA
Rfam family: Bacterial small subunit ribosomal RNA
Source: RNAcentral
GAUGAACGCUAGCUACAGGCUUAACACAUGCAAGUCGAGGGGCAGCAUGGUCUUAGCUUGCUAAGGCCGAUGGCGACCGGCGCACGGGUGAGUAACACGUAUCCAACCUGCCGUCUACUCUUGGACAGCCUUCUGAAAGGAAGAUUAAUACAAGAUGGCAUCAUGAGUCCGCAUGUUCACAUGAUUAAAGGUAUUCCGGUAGACGAUGGGGAUGCGUUCCAUUAGAUAGUAGGCGGGGUAACGGCCCACCUAGUCUUCGAUGGAUAGGGGUUCUGAGAGGAAGGUCCCCCACAUUGGAACUGAGACACGGUCCAAACUCCUACGGGAGGCAGCAGUGAGGAAUAUUGGUCAAUGGGCGCAGGCCUGAACCAGCCAAGUAGCGUGAAGGACGACUGCCCUAUGGGUUGUAAACUUCUUUUAUAAAGGAAUAAAGUCGGGUAUGUAUACCCGUUUGCAUGUACUUUAUGAAUAAGGAUCGGCUAACUCCGUG